GCCUUCGUGGUGUAACGGUUAGCACACUCAGCGAGUACUCGAGAAAUGCAGGUUCGAAUCCCAGCGAGGGCA
Stegodyphus mimosarum is the source of this 72-nucleotide non-coding RNA. The record is from Rfam. Lineage: Eukaryota; Metazoa; Arthropoda; Arachnida; Araneae; Eresidae.